GAAGGAGGAGGCAAUCGUUAUCCGGAAUUAUUGGGCGUAAAGCGUCCGCAGGUGGCGAUUCAAGUCUGCUGUCAAAGGUCGAGGCUUAACCCCGGGAAGGCAGUGGAAACUGAAUAGCUAGAGUGCGGUAGGGGCAGAGGGAAUUCCCGGUGUAGCGGUGAAAUGCGUAGAGAUCGGGAAGAACACCAGUGGCGAAAGCGCUCUGCUGGGCCUGCACUGACACUGAGGGACGAAAGCUAGGGGAGCGAAAGGG
This 253-nucleotide ribosomal RNA is filed under the name uncultured bacterium. Its description in RNAcentral is "partial 16S ribosomal RNA". It matches the Rfam family "Bacterial small subunit ribosomal RNA", at positions 524 to 776 of the family's 1533-position model. The record is from RNAcentral.